Hypanus sabinus (Atlantic stingray) is the source of this 4655-nucleotide long non-coding RNA. RefSeq lists it as uncharacterized. The record is from RefSeq and is a predicted model, not a curated record. NCBI's taxonomy places the organism in Eukaryota, Metazoa, Chordata, Chondrichthyes, Myliobatiformes, Dasyatidae. The transcript has 3 exons.
CAGGCCCUGAUUAGGAUCUAAUCUGGAUCAAAGAAUGAUGGGUGGAGAAUCUGUGGUGGCGCCAGUUCAUGGCUGUGAUUCUGUAUGUGAAGAGAAACCAAGAAAUGGAAGGUGAAAGGAAGAAAGUUUCAACUUCUUGCACCUUUGAUGAUUUGGGACAUCUGAAGAUGCUGCAGAGUUAGCAAAUUACUAUUCAAAUACAAUUCCUGUCGUAACAUGAAGAAAUCUGCAUGAGAAGAACUACCUACGUUGGACCAUUAAGUCUGCCUGUGGAAAGGGACACUGCUGAAGCUGUGAGAGGUUCUGGCUCUGUUACUCAAAGUCUCCAACCAUGACUUUUACGUUUUAAAAUCCCAGCAGAGCGCAGGGAGCGUGGUCAUACACUAAUGCUGCAUGGUAGCGCAGCAGCUAACAGUACCAGCUGUAAGAUUAGGGUUCCACUCCUGCCGCUGUCUGUUCAAGGAGCUUGACCAUCCUCUCUGUGACUGUGUGGAUGGCUAUGUAGGAGGGAAGGGUUAGACUUAUUUGAGAGUAGGUUAAAGUAGGUUGGCACAACAUUAUAGGCAUUGUACUGUCACAAGCAACAGAGAAUCUGCAGGUGCUGGAAAUCCAAGCAACACACACAAAAUGCUGGAGGAACUCUGCAGGCCAGGCAGCAUCUAUUGAAAAGUGUAUAGUCGACGUUUCAGGCCAAGACCCUUCAUCAACAUUUUACUGUGCUGUAAUGUUCUAUAUUCUUUUAAUAUAUGACUUCCCGGCACACAAUUUCAUGUGUUCUAAUGUGGUUGACCAGCUUUAGGUGCAGAAUCCUUUAGAGAGCCUCCUGAAAAUUCAGAUUUACCAUUUGUUGCCCUUCAUCUAGAAUGGAGAUGAGGAGGAAUUUCUUUAGCCUGAGAGUGAUGAAUCUGUGGAAUUCAUUGUCACAGAUGCUGUAGAAGCCAAGUCAUUGGGUAGAUUUAAAUUGGACGUUGAUAGGUUCUUGAUUAGUAAGGUGUCAGAGGUUACGGGGAGAAGGCAGGACAAUGGGGUUCAGAGGGAUAAUAAUCAAUCAUGAUGGAAUGGCAGAGCAGACUCAAUGGGCUGAAUGGCCUCAUUCUGCUCCUCUGUCUUAUGGUUAAAGAACUCCAAAGGAGUAGUCAAACAAAAUUUAACGUAAAAAAUUUAUGCUCACUCUUCCCAAUCGUAUCAUUAUUUUCUGUGUUUCUUGAUAUCACACCCUUUAUUACAGAUACAGCAUUUUCCUUCUCAACACCGACAAACAAACAGGAUGAUAGUUAACUUUUUCUUUCUCUAUCCUUUGAUAAAUGGUGGGAUAACCUUUCUCAUUUGCAAUCUGCAAGAACUAUCACAGUGUGUAGAGAAUAUUGGAAGAUGAUAACCAGAGCAUCCACUAUCUCUAAUGUCUGGAAUGUAACUCAUCAGUUCCUUCAGACUUAAUGGUUUUCAGGCAUUAACCUCUAUGGUCGUAUUUUAAUAAGAGCAUCAAAGUUAUAGAGAGAAGGCAGGAGAAUAGCUUACUUCCACAUUUUAUUUUGCAUUUUUAGUCAAUUUCCGGGUCAUGCCAUGCUGACUUCCAAUCAUCAGACUCUUUCUGAUAUCUGCCAUCUUUAUCUAGAUGUGACUCAAGAAUGUUAACUCAUUCAGCCCAUUGACAAGAUUAAGCAGCAACAUUGUACUGAAAGAAUUUAUCUGGAAGACCUAAACAUUAGUAUCUGCAGUGGAUGUAGCCAGGACUUGAUGGCCUGAGUUAUAGGGAAAGAUUGAAUAGGUUAGGAGUUCUUUUUGUGGAGCGUAGGAGAAUAAGGAGAGAUUUUAUAGAGGUACAGUAUACAAAAUUAUGAGAGGUAUAGAUAAGGCUUUUUCCAAUGAAAUUGGGUGAGACUAGGACUAGAGGUUAUGGGUUAAGCAUGAAAGGUGAAAUAUUUAAGGGGAACCUGAGGAGGACAAAGAGCAUCUCUGAAUGCACAACACCUUGAAACUUGAAGUGGAUCGGCUCCAGCAGCACAACAGCACAAACAAUCAGAAAUACUCAGUGGCCACUUUAUCAAGGACCUAACAGUGGCAUGCCCUUCUACACACCACUGCUGUAACAUGUGGUUAUUUGAGUUCCUGUUGCCUUCCUGUCAGCUUGAACCAGUCUGGACAUUCUCCUCUGACCUCCCUCAUUAACAAGGCACUUUUGCCCACACAAUUGCCUCUGACUGUUUUUUUUAAACUUUUGCACAAUUCUCUGUAAACUCUAGAGAACGUUGUGUGGGAAUAUCCCAGCAGUUUCUGAGAUACUCAAACCAUCCUGAGACACUCAAAUCAUUCCACGGUUAAAGUCACUUAGAUCAUAUUUCUUCCCCAUUCUGAUGUUUGGUCUGAACUACAACCUCAUGACCACAUCUACAUGCUUUUAUGUAUCGAGUUGCGGCUACAUGACUGCUGAUUACUUAUUAGACCAUAAGACAAAGAAACAUAGAAAGCCUACAGCACAAUAUAGGCCCUUCAGCCCACAAAGCUGUGCCAAACAUGUCCUUACUAUGGAAACUACCUAGGGAUACCCAUAGCUCUCUAUUUUUUUUAAGCUCCAUGUACCAAUCCAGGAGUCUCUUAAAAGACCCUAUCGUAUCCACCUCCACCACCAUGGCCAGCAGCCCAUUCCACACACUCACCACUCUCUGUGUUAAAAAAAAACCUUACUGCUGACAUCUCCUCUGUACCUACUUCCAAGCACCCUAAAACUGUGCCCUCUCGUGUUAGCCAUUUCAGCCCUGGGAAAAAGCCUCUGACUAUCCACAUGAUCAAUGCCUCUCAUCAUCUCAUACACCUGGACAUGGGAGUAGAAUUAGGCCUUUUACAAGCCAGUGUAUUGAAUUCAGCCUAGACCAACAAAGAAGAAAUGUCAGUAAAAUACAGAUAUAACACCAGUUACAAACCUAUUUUUUGUAGAUGUAGGCAUACAGUAAAAUUCCCUAAAUGCCAAUUUAACAAGGUGACAGCUGACAUAGAAAAUAUUUUUUACCCUGAAAGAAAUUACUGCCAAGGAUAAAAUAUUUCUCUUGUCAGUUCAAAGUUCUCAAAAUUCAAAAACAAUUUAACUAAAGCUAUCAGAACCAAUAGCAAUACUUCAUUUUCAAUCUUUCUCCCAUGGUUGGUUCUGAAGUCAACUUUCAACUAAAUUGUCAAGUUGCUUGUGCAAAUGAAGAUGGAAAAAUGGUGACAAAGGCAGAUCAGCAUAUCAGAAUAUACUUUGUAUUAAACUGGAGUGGCAUUAUUUUCAGAAUGCUUCCUUCAGAGUGUUGAAAUAAAGCUUUCAUUCUACAGAGGCUGCUGCAUAAACAUCAACAAUAUCGUGCAUUUAUAUGACACCACUAAUCUAGUAAAACAGCCCAAGUCACUUUAAAGGUGCAAUAUCAGACAAAACUGGAUGUUGAGCUACAUUAGAAGAUAGACUGAGGAAUUCAGCUUGGUCAAAUAGAUUUUAAGCAGCAUCUUUACGAAGGGAGUGAGUGGUGGAGUGGCGAUUUGUUUACAGAGGGAGCCUAGACAAAUGAAGCCAUGGACUACCCAUGGUGGUGUGAUGGAAAAUGAGGGAAUGCAUGAGGUUAGGAGUGUAGAAGCCUACAUUAAAUGUAGACUUGAAAAAUGUAGCCAUGGAUGGAUUCAAAAACAGGGAUGUGAAUUUUUAUAUUACGUUGUUGGGGGGGGGGGGGGGCGCAGAAAUUUUCCAUUGUCAGGCGUUCCAUUGCCAGAAAUUUUCCUUUCCAGGCAUUUUCCAUUCCCUGGAAAGUGGAUCACGUGGCACCUAAACCAUAGCAUUAGCAUAACACUUUACAGCUCCAGUUAUUGAUUGGAAGAUUGGGGUUCAAUUCCUGCCUCUGUCUGUAAGAAUUUGUAUGUUCUCCCCAUGAUUGCGUUGGUUUCCUCUGAGUGCUCUGGUUUCCACCCACAUUCCAAAGACAUACAGGUUAGGGUAUGUUGUGGGGACGCUAUGUCACUGCCAGAAGCGUGGAGACACUUGCAGGCUGCCCCCAGGAAUCCUCGGUCUGUGUUUGCUCAUUGACGCCAAAAACGUACUGCUUUCCUCUGUGUGUUUUGAUUUUUUUUGAUGUACGUGUGACAAAUAAAGCUAAUCUAACCUAAGUCACGACUGUGAUCAUCUCUGAGUAAACGUGCAGUCACUACAAAACUAUAUGGGGCAUAUCCUGUUGCCGAUCAGACCUGAUCUUUGCCAAACAUCAGCUACACAUGCAAUGGUAUUUUCGUUUGGCAUCACACCCACUACGCUCUGUUGAAUGAAAUGAGAACAAAUAUCAUAUGGAGUUCACAAGAGGAGCAAAGCCUGUGCUUUCGAUCAUCUACAGGAGACACUGACGCUCUCUCUCCUUUGACAGGACUGUCCAAACCCACCUCCCUUACCAGCUAGAAGGAUAAGGGCAGCAAAAGUAUGCGUGGGAGUGGGGGAGAUGGACUACCACCUCGAAGUUCCUCCAGGCCACAAACCAUCCCAACUAGGAAAUAUCAGAAUCAGGUUUAUUAUCACUGACACACUAUAUGUUGUGGUUUUGUGGCUGUAUAACAGUGCAAUACAUAAAAAAUCUGUAAGUUACAAUAGGAAAUAUAAAAAAGUAAAUAAACAGUGCAAAAUAGUGAAGUAGUGUUCAUGGGCA